AUUGAACGCUGGCGGCAGGCCUAACACAUGCAAGUCGAGCGGAUGAAGGGAGCUUGCUCCUGGAUUCAGCGGCGGACGGGUGAGUAAUGCCUAGGAAUCUGCCUGGUAGUGGGGAAAACGUUCGGAAAAGGGGUCUUAUACCGGCUACCGUCUGGGGGGGAAAAGUGGGGAUCUUCCGGACUCAAGGCUUCAGGUGAGGCUAGGUCGGAUUAGCUAGUUGGUGGGGUAAAGGCCUACCAAGGCGACGAUCCGUAACUGGUCUGAGAGGAUGAUCAGUCACACUGGAACUGAGACACGGUCCAGACUCCUACGGGAGGCAGCAGUGGGGAAUAUUGGACAAUGGGCGAAAGCCUGAUCCAGCCAUGCCGCGUGUGUGAAGAAGGUCUUCGGAUUGUAAAGCACUUUAAGUUGGGAGGAAGGGCAGUAAGUUAAUACCUUGCUGUUUUGACGUUACCAACAGAAUAAGCACCGGCUAACUUCGUG
Molecule: ribosomal RNA, 483 nt
Filed under: uncultured bacterium
Lineage: Bacteria
Description: partial 16S ribosomal RNA
Rfam family: Bacterial small subunit ribosomal RNA
Source: RNAcentral